Molecule: ribosomal RNA, 460 nt
Filed under: uncultured bacterium
Lineage: Bacteria
Description: partial 16S ribosomal RNA
Rfam family: Bacterial small subunit ribosomal RNA
Source: RNAcentral
CCUACGGGAGGCAGCAGUGAGGAAUAUUGGUCAAUGGCCGGAAGGCUGAACCAGCCAUGCCGCGUGAAGGUCAGUGCCCUAUGGGCGUUAAACUUCUUUUGUGCGGGAGCAAUAAUGGUCACGUGUGGCCAGACGAGAGUACCGUACGAAUAAGCAUCGGCUAACUCCGUGCCAGCAGCCGCGGUAAUACGGGGGAUGCAAGCGUUAUCCGGGUUUAUUGGGGUUAAAGGGUGCGUAGGCUGUGAGGUAAGUCAGCGGUGAAAUGCCCCCGCUCAACGGGGUGAAGUGCCAUUGAUACUGCCUUGCUGGAAUGCGGAUGACGUAGGAGGAAUGUGUGGUGUAGCGGUGAAAUGCAUAGAUAUCACACAGAACACCGAUUGCGAAGGCAUCUCACGAAUCCGCGAUUGACGCUGAUGCACGAAAGCGUGGGUAUCAAACAGGAUUAGAUACUCUAGUAGUC